AGUCCUGGCUCAGGACGAACGCUGGCGGCGUGCCUAACACAUGCAAGUCGAACGGGGCUAGGAAAGCUUGCUUUCCGAAGCCUAGUGGCGGACGGGUGAGUAACGCGUGAGUAACCUGCCUUUCAGAGGGGAAUAACGUUCUGAAAAGAACGCUAAUACCGCAUAACGUACAGUUACCGCAUGGUAGCAGUACCAAAGGAGCAAUCCGCUGAGAGAUGGACUCGCGUCCGAUUAGCUAGUUGGUGGGGUAAAGGCCUACCAAGGCGACGAUCGGUAGCCGGACUGAGAGGUUGAACGGCCACAUUGGGACUGAGACACGGCCCAGACUCCUACGGGAGGCAGCAGUGGGGGAUAUUGCACAAUGGGGGAAACCCUGAUGCAGCAACGCCGCGUGUGGGAAGAAGGUUUUCGGAUUGUAAACCACUGUUCUUGGUGAAGAUAAUGACGGUAACCAAGGAGAAAGCUCCGGCUAACUACGUGCCAGCAGCCGCGGUAA
RNAcentral lists this ribosomal RNA (496 nucleotides) under uncultured bacterium. RNAcentral's name for it is "bacterial SSU rRNA". It matches the Rfam family "Bacterial small subunit ribosomal RNA", at positions 15 to 523 of the family's 1533-position model. The record is from RNAcentral.